GAUGAACGCUGGCGGCGUGCCUAAUACAUGCAAGUCGAGCGAACAGAUGAGGAGCUUGCUCCUCUGCCGUUAGCGGCGGACGGGUGAGUAACACGUGGAUAACCUACCUAUAAGACUGGGAUAACUUCGGGAAACCGGAGCUAAUACCGGAUAAUAUAUUGAACCGCAUGGUUCAAUAGUGAAAGACGGUUUUGCUGUCUCUUAUAGAUGGAUCCGCCGCAUUAGCUAGUUGGUAAGGUAACGGCUUACCAAGGCGACGAUGCGUAGCCGACCUGAGAGGGUGAUCGGCCACACUGGAACUGAGACACGGUCCAGACUCCUACGGGAGGCAGCAGUAGGGAAUCUUCCGCAAAGGGCGAAAGCCUGACGGAGCAACGCCGCGUGAGUGAUGAAGGUCUUCGGAUCGUAAAACUCUGUUAUUAGGGAAGAACAAAUGUGUAAGUAACUAUGCACGUCUUGACGGUACCUAAUCAGAAAGCCACGGCUAACUACGUG
RNAcentral lists this ribosomal RNA (495 nucleotides) under uncultured bacterium. Its description in RNAcentral is "partial 16S ribosomal RNA". It matches the Rfam family "Bacterial small subunit ribosomal RNA", at positions 28 to 507 of the family's 1533-position model. The record is from RNAcentral.